Molecule: ribosomal RNA, 485 nt
Filed under: uncultured bacterium
Lineage: Bacteria
Description: partial 16S ribosomal RNA
Rfam family: Bacterial small subunit ribosomal RNA
Source: RNAcentral
AUUGAACGCUGGCGGCAUGCCUUACACAUGCAAGUCGAACGGCAGCACGGGUGCUUGCACCUGGUGGCGAGUGGCGAACGGGUGAGUAAUACAUCGGAACAUGUCCUGUAGUGGGGGAUAGCCCGGCGAAAGCCGGAUUAAUACCGCAUACGAUCUACGGAUGAAAGCGGGGGACCUUCGGGCCUCGCGCUAUAGGGUUGGCCGAUGGCUGAUUAGCUAGUUGGUGGGGUAAAGGCCUACCAAGGCGACGAUCAGUAGCUGGUCUGAGAGGACGACCAGCCACACUGGGACUGAGACACGGCCCAGACUCCUACGGGAGGCAGCAGUGGGGAAUUUUGGACAAUGGGCGAAAGCCUGAUCCAGCAAUGCCGCGUGUGUGAAGAAGGCCUUCGGGUUGUAAAGCACUUUUGUCCGGAAAGAAAUCCUUGGCCCUAAUACGGUCGGGGGAUGGCAGUACCGGAAGAAUAAGCACCGGCUAACUACGU